Non-coding RNA from Lactobacillus acidophilus NCFM, 101 nucleotides. Lineage: Bacteria; Bacillati; Bacillota; Bacilli; Lactobacillales; Lactobacillaceae. The record is from Rfam.
UCAUACUUGAUGGGCAAUGUUUGACCUCUGAAUCGUGUCAGGACCGGAAGGUAGCAGCACUAAGGUUGUUCAGGCAUGUGCCUUUUAUUAGAAAUUAACAA